Molecule: ribosomal RNA, 1089 nt
Filed under: Hylarana macrodactyla
Lineage: Eukaryota; Metazoa; Chordata; Amphibia; Anura; Ranidae
Description: partial large subunit ribosomal RNA
Rfam family: Bacterial large subunit ribosomal RNA
Source: RNAcentral
GAGGGUCUUAGCUCUACCCUAAGCUACACUAUGAAACUGAACAAACUUUUUAACUUAGGAGCUAUUCAAGUAAGGCACAGCUUACUUGAAACAGGAUACAACCUCUAAUAUUGGGUAAACAUCGAUAUUAUUGCCUAAGUCGGCCUAAGAGCAGCCACCUUUUAAAAAGCGUCAAAGCUUAACCACCAUAUAAUUUAAAUCCCUACUUAUUCCCUGAACCCCUCAUCCCUACUGAGUAAUUUUAUACUUCUAUAAAAGCUAUAAUGCUAGAACUAGUAACAAGAAAAUGCCUUCUCCAAAAUGUAAGUAUAAACCAAAAUGGACACUCCAUUGGUAAUUAACGUAAAUGCACCCACUACAGCAACACAAGCAAGAAAACCCUGUCACCCCCAACGUUAACCUAACACUAGAACAUUCCAGGAAAGAUUAAAAGAGAAAGAAGGAACUCGGCAAACCUUAGCCCCGCCUGUUUACCAAAAACAUCGCCUCUUGAAAAAAUAUAAGAGGUCCAGCCUGCCCAGUGACAAAGUUCAACGGCCGCGGUAUCCUAACCGUGCGAAGGUAGCAUAAUCACUUGUUCCUUAAAUAGGGACUAGUAUCAACGGCAUCACGAGGGCUGCACUGUCUCCUUUCUCCAAUCAGUGAAACUGAUCUCCCCGUGAAGAAGCGGGGAUUGUAAUAUAAGACGAGAAGACCCCAUGGAGCUUUAAGCAAUGAAUUUACCUAUGAUUGAAACUUCUUCUAAUUUCAAAAACCUAAGUUCUAGCUUUUGGCUGGGGGGACCGCGGAGUACAACUUAACCUCCGCAACUAACGGGCUUUGCCCUUAUCUAUGAGCCACAACUCUAAGAAUUAAUAAACUAAUGCCUUUGACCCGAAAACCUCGAUCAAUGGACCAAGUUACCCUGGGGAUAACAGCGCAAUCUACUUUAAGAGCCCCUAUCGACAAGUAGGCUUACGACCUCGAUGUUGGAUCAGGGUAUCCCAGUGGUGCAGCCGCUACUAAUGGUUCGUUUGUUCAACGAUUAAAACCCUACGUGAUCUGAGUAGAAAACCGGAGAGUGAUUACGCUACCUUUGCCCCGGUCAGA